Molecule: small RNA, 2875 nt
Filed under: Manduca sexta (tobacco hornworm)
Lineage: Eukaryota; Metazoa; Arthropoda; Insecta; Lepidoptera; Sphingidae
Description: uncharacterized LOC115440378
Source: RNAcentral
ACCUGACAUCUGUCAGUAAAAUUAUAAAUUUCCCACUGAAAUCCCCGAUUUUAGUGACUUCUAUGUUUGUUUAUACCAUGGUUUUUCCUCUACGUCGAUAUUCAUGCGAAGCGAUGAUCAAAGACAAAUAAUCAUCACUACGACGCAUCUUGACGACGUUACACUUAGCUUUUAAGCAUAAAAGGAUAAAAUUUCUAUUCAAAGUGACUUGUUUAUCGAAUGUGGUAGUCGCAAGAUUUUGUGAUAAAUAUUUAAGAAGUUUGUUUCAGAAGUACCAUGGCAUCAAUAAAUACCGAAAGUUCAACUUUACAUGUAAAUAAUGUAGAAAGUACACCAGUGGCCUUAUCACCUAUUGAAAUACAACAGGAAUACUUUGAAAAUUUAGGAGAUAUGGAUUGGGUCAGAUAUGAGAAGGACCAGGGAAAUUUUCUGAUGCAGAAUGUAGCGUUUGCCUUAUAUGGUGGCCCUAGUUCUGAAGGAGACUUGAGUAAUGCCAGGAGAUGUAACCAUCCUAUUUUGGAAGGCUAUACCACAAGACAAGUGGAACAGGUUACAAAGAUCUAUGAUAAAUUGCGUGAACAAAGUAAAUACUCCUUCAAUAAUGAAAUUGUGGUAUCAGUGAUAUUGAUUGUUUGUGCUAAGCCAAAACCAGUAGGUUUGUUUGAAAUUGAACCACCUAAUCAUUGGUGGGAUCUUCAUCAAAGAACUGAUACGGACAUUUGGUGCACAGCUGUGUUUAGAGUUCGAAAGUGCAUUGCCACUACGGAGGGUGCAAAGUGCUGCCGUAUCUACAUUGACGAUCAGGCAAGAGUGUACAAUGACUGGGUUUCAUAUAUAAAAAAUAAUACACUACCUAAAUGUGUUAUGAUUGUUCCUGAAAAUGGAGAAUACACUGGAGAACUUAGUGAGAAGGAAAAGACAUUUGCGGUGAAACUGACAGUAGCACCUUCACCUGCGCUGGGGAUCAAGGCGAAAAUCUUUAGCACGGCGGACACGGCGAAUACGGUGACGUCACUGGCGGCGUUGGGCGUGCUCGGCGCGGCCGCACUGACGCCCGUCGCGCCGGUGGUUAUCACGGGCGCAGUCAUCGCCACCGUCACCACGGGCGUGUAUGGGCUCGUACGCUCGUCGCUUCAUUUGCAUGACAGAAAGACGCAUGAGCAGUCUAUAAGUCCCACGGACUCGGAGGCUCGUAAUAGUUGGCUGAACAUCGCGGCGUCGAGCGUGGGGCUGGCAGCCGGCGCGGCGAGCACUAUGCUCUCCAAGUCCGCGGCAGCCGGCACGAAUCUUACUAAGACCGGCCAAGCUCUUGCUGUUUCGGUGGAAGUGUUACGUCACGCGAACCUUGUCACCGGUGGCGCAGGAGUUCUUAACAGUCUUGUGCAUAUUGUGCUAAAGUACCAUACUCAUGGAGAGAAACCAACUUCGCUUGAAUUGUUCCAAUUCACUGCAGCGACAUUGUUCUUCUGUAACGCUGUGGUGUCGAACAAAACUGCACAAAACAUAAUCGAAGAUGCCCAAGCAAAGACCAUUAAUGAAUAUCGCACUACUCUUCGCAGUAACAGGCAUAGAAAAAUAUUUGACAAAAUCAGUGCCGAGUCGCGUAGAAUUCAAGGUUCCAUCCAAGGAAACACCGAAGUGAUUAAAGGCAUUCAGAACAUUGCCAACAAGGAUCAAUUUUUUGCAGACGUUUUGAAAAUUAACAAAGAUGUGAAUACACAUAAGCUGAGGAUUUCGAUGACGGCCGAUGGUCAAGUCAAUUUGAAUGCUCAACAUAAGUUCAACCCAUCAGAUUUACAUGGCAUUGGGAAGGAGGGGCGCGCACAACUUUUCAAUAACAUCGGACCAUCAUCGGGUGGGCCUCCCAACGUCCCAACAAAACUAACCCCAUCAACAACCGCUGUAAGGGCAUUUACUUCGGAGACUGAAGAGGAGUCAGAAAGCUUUCUUAUGGGUAUUCAACCGGAGAGGUACUACGUUUGGGUACAUUGCUUGUUAGAGUUACUUCUUCAGGUGCUGAAGAAGUUGCAUCAAUGUUGGAAAAUCUGAGUCAAGAUGUGCACGCUAAUCUAAUGACUAUUGCGCUCAAUGUAUUGUCUAAGUUGGUGCCACAGGACAUCGCAAGGCUCAGAUUACUGAGUCCUGACCAAGAUCUAAUAGUGCAAGUGGUUGAGUUUGUAUUCAAGUAUAUGAAACACAAGCGGCCUUUGGGAGAGACAUCUGAAGAUGAUGGUAUAGAGGCGGUCUUGAAAGAGUUCUUCCAAGACGGCAUGGUUCGUCAAGAAACUAUAUUGAGGCUGAAAAAUCGUUUGCUAGAGUGGAUUACACAAGAGACGAACCGCAGGAGUCGUGCGAAUCCAAACAAAAGCAAAUAGUGUGUAGCUGCGGUGGCAUUAGAUAUGCUUAAAUGCAUUUUAUUUAACUUAAGUGAGGCUGCAUAAUGUUGUAGUUGCUAUUAACUAUCACAUUACUAGUUAGAUGAUACUAUUUUUACUUUUUUAUAUUAUAUUAAGUUGAAUUUCUGAAUAUCAUAUUCAACAUUAUUUCAUUAGAUGGAAUAAUCCGUAACAGAUAAGAACCAAGCAAUAUAUAUACAAAAGUAUGCUUGUUAUAUUCCUUGCAUAAUCUUAGAGUAGAAUAAUUAUUUAUUAGUGAGUGAAGUAAAUAUUCUGGCUUCCAUCCAACAAAACAUAUCACUGAAAUUGUGAAUAAAAUUUUAUUUUAUUGAAAAUGAUAUAUAUUUUUAGUCUUUGGAAAAGUGAAAAUUUAUUCUGUGAUAUCGUAGUUUUAUUAUUUGAUACCAAAUUAGUGCCUUAAACAUGGCCUUAGCGACAUUGUCGUGGAAUUACGACCAAGCUCCUUAAAUAAAUAUCUU